RNAcentral lists this ribosomal RNA (440 nucleotides) under uncultured bacterium. Its description in RNAcentral is "partial 16S ribosomal RNA". It matches the Rfam family "Bacterial small subunit ribosomal RNA", at positions 338 to 795 of the family's 1533-position model. The record is from RNAcentral.
CCUACGGGAGGCAGCAGUGGGGAAUAUUGCACAAUGGGGGAAACCCUGAUGCAGCAACGCCGCGUGAGGGAAGAAGGUUUUCGGUUUGUAAACUUCUAUUAGCAGGGAAGAAAAUGACGGUAUCUGACUAAAAAGCCCCGGCUAACUACGUGCCAGCAGCCGCGGUAAUACGGAGGGGGCAAGCGUUAUCCGGAUUUACUGGGUGUAAAGAGAGCGUAGGCGGGUUAGCAAGUCAGAAGUGAAAGCCCGUGGCUCAACCACAGGACUGCAUUUGAAACUGUUGUUCUAGAGUACAGGAGAGGUAAGUGGAAUUCCUAGUGUAGCGGUGAAAUGCGUAGAUAUUAGGAGGAACACCAGUGGCGAAGGCGGCUUGCUGGACUGUAACUGACGCUGAUGCGCGAAAGCGUGGGGAGCAAACAGGAUUAGAUACCCUAGUAGUC